GGAGAGAGCAGGGACCCAAGCUGAGCUGUGCCAGAUCCAGAGGGGCCAGAAAGCAGAUUAAGCUCCUUGGGAAGAAGGCAUUGGCAUUGGCUGAGAUUCCUGAAAGAGGAGUUUGCCUGCAUGCUGUUAAUCACUGAUAAUCAAGUCUAAGUGCUUAGACCUGCUGUGGGACAAUGUUUCUGUGGAAGAGUCUGCCCAGCCUGCACUAGCAGUGAGCUUCCCCCACUGAGAGCUGAGACCACUGAGAGCUGAGUGGAACCUCAAGAGACCAACUUGCAGAGGUCACAGUGGCAGAUGCAGAAGUUGACGGCACAGGGCCAAGGGCAAUGAAGCGGUGGAGUGAACGAUGGCACGACGAACAACAGUGGCCAGAGCGAGCAGCCAGUGGCUGGAAGAACAAGCAAGGUGCCUUCUGCCCUCCCCCCGCAAUUGGAGGUGAACUCACACAAAAGCACCCCUUAACUCUGGGUCUCCACUGACCAAGGACCACAACGCAGAUCAAAGUGAAAAUGAAAAGACAAAAAGCAAUGCAACAGUUUUUCCACUCUAAGGCCUCAAAAAUCAACCAAGAUGAAGAACACACUAAGAACAAAGAAUAUACCAACAUGUCAUCUGAAGGCUCACAUGGUAUAUUAACAUCUGAACAGCCUGAAGCACAAAUACAGCUACCAACUUAAGAAACAGCGUCUCCAAAACCUAAAGGCAGUUCCCAGUGUUUGUCAAUCAAAGUUUCCCAUUUACUGAAGUUACAAAAGAUGGCUACUGGUGCACUUCUUGCAAAACUCUUCCAAAGAAGGAAAGCUUCCCAAAGCUACAACUGGUAAAAGUGGUCAGGAGCUUGGUUUGCCAGACCGAUCAUCAAAGCCAAUACUGACAAACUACAUGAAAAGGCUGAAAAACACCAAGCCCCUAAGAAAGCCUUAUAAGCCAAUCACUGUCAAAGCCAAUUUCAGUAGUACCUAAUGAGGCUGUUAAGAAUGCUGGAUACACAACACAGUUUAUUCGAACAAACAUGGCUGUUGCUUCAUACUUUCUUUUUA
Molecule: long non-coding RNA, 1040 nt
Organism: Chrysemys picta bellii (western painted turtle)
Lineage: Eukaryota; Metazoa; Chordata; Testudines; Emydidae
Source: RefSeq, a predicted model, not a curated record